Long non-coding RNA from Xyrauchen texanus (razorback sucker), 580 nucleotides. RefSeq lists it as uncharacterized. NCBI's taxonomy places the organism in Eukaryota, Metazoa, Chordata, Actinopteri, Cypriniformes, Catostomidae. The record is from RefSeq and is a predicted model, not a curated record. The transcript is spliced from 6 exons.
ACCAAACCACAUACUGUAACCUAGAUACAUUUGUAAGUUUAUGUUUUAUUUUUUAUAAAAACCUGUGUGAGCCAUAUCGCUGCAAAUCUGCCAAAGUUAUCUGAUGAUUACACAGUUGGCAUAGGAUCUAUUAGUAGAUAAUUUAUAUUUGAUUGGGGUUUGGCUUUGGGGCACACAGCCCUUGGUAACAAACUCUUGAGUGUACCUCAACCUGACAACCUUAAAGACAGAUGCUUUCGAGGAGCCCAGGGAGGAAGUAGAAGCAAAACCAAAGCCAAAACCUUUCGUGCCUUGCUUUGGUGCCUCCCAAAUUCCUGAUGGAGAGAAAGUUGAUUUUGAUGAUAUUAAUCGCAAACGUAUGGAAAAGGACCUGACGGAGCUGCAAACGCUCAUUGAAGCACACUUCGAGAACAGAAAGAAAGAAGAAGAGGAACUGAUCGGCCUCAGCCAAUGAAUUAAUUCUUACCAAGCUUGACCAGCAAGACAGAACUGGUCAAUCAGCUUCAUCAGAACUAAUCAACAUAAACCAACGUGGAAUUUAUUGCGAGUCAAGGCUGAUAAGUUGUGGCAAGUUUAUGGG